RNAcentral lists this ribosomal RNA (916 nucleotides) under uncultured bacterium. RNAcentral describes it as "bacterial SSU rRNA". It matches the Rfam family "Bacterial small subunit ribosomal RNA", at positions 505 to 1400 of the family's 1533-position model. The record is from RNAcentral.
GUGUCAGCCGCCGCGCGGUAAUACGGGGGUGGCGAGCGUUACUCGGAUUCAUUGGGUGUAAAGGACAGGUAGGCGGCUAUGUAAGUUGGAGGUGAAAUCGUGCGGCUUAACCGCAGAACUGCCUUCAAGACUGCAUAGCUUGAGGCUAGAAGAGGAGAGCGGAAUUCCCGGUGUAAGGGUGAAAUCUGUAGAUAUCGGGAGGAACACCAGUAGCGAAGGCGACUCUCUGGGCUAGUUCUGACACUGAGCUGCGAAAGCUAGGGGAGCAAACAGGAUUAGAUACCCUGGUAGUCCUAGCCGUAAACGAUGAGCACUAGGUGUUGGUUCGUAUAGGACCGGUGCCGUAAGAUAACUCGUUAAGUGCUCCACCUGGGGACUACGGCCGCAAGGUUAAAACUCAAAGGAAUUGACGGGGGUCCGCACAAGCGGUGGAACAUGUGGUUCAAUUCGACGAUACGCGAAGAACCUCACCAAGGCUUGACAUGCAGGUAGUAGCAAACCGAAAGGGGCGCUAACCGUAAAGCCGGUUGCUUGCACAGGUGUUGCAUGGCUGUCGUCAGCUCGUGCCGUGAGGUGUUGGGUUAAGUCCCGCAACGAGCGCAACCAUUAUCCUUUGUUGCCACUCUUUUAAGCCGCAAGGUUUAGAGAAGCACUCUAAGGAGACCGCCCUGGGGAACAGGGAGGAAGGUGGUGAUGACGUCAAGUCAGUACGGCCCUUAUGCCUUGGGCUACACACGUGUUACAAUGCCUACUACAGAGCGUUGCCAAACCGCGAGGUGGAGCUAAUCGCAAAAAAGUAGGCUCAGUUCAGAUUGGAGUCUGCAAUCCGACUCCAUGAAGACGGAAUCGCUAGUAACGGCGGAUCAGCUACGCCGCCGUGAAUACGUUCCCGGACCUUGCACACACCGCCCGUCAA